AACGAACGCUGGCGGCAUGCCUAACACAUGCAAGUCGAACGGGAUCCUAGCUUGCUAGGUGAGAGUGGCGGACGGGUGAGUAACACGUGGGAAUCUGCCUUUUGGUUCGGGAUAACCGCGGGAAACUGCGGCUAAUACCGAAUGCCCUCGAGAGAGGAAAGAUUUAUCGCCAGAAGAGGAGCCCGCGUCCGAUUAGGUAGUUGGUGGGGUAAAGGCCUACCAAGCCGACGAUCGGUAGCUGGUCUGAGAGGAUGAUCAGCCACACUGGGACUGAGAUACGGCCCAGACUCCUACGGGAGGCAGCAGUGGGGAAUAUUGGACAAUGGGGGGCAACCCUGAUCCAGCAAUGCCGCGUGAGUGAUGAAGGCCUUAGGGUUGUAAAGCUCUUUUGCCAGGGAAGAUGAUGACUGUACCUGGAGAAUAGCCCGGACUAACUUCGUGCCAGCAGCC
Molecule: ribosomal RNA, 450 nt
Filed under: uncultured bacterium
Lineage: Bacteria
Description: bacterial SSU rRNA
Rfam family: Bacterial small subunit ribosomal RNA
Source: RNAcentral